CCGCCCUGACCUCCGGUCCCACCCCCCGCCAGCACCUGGAGCAGUUUCCGCAGUCGAUGAUAGCGUUGUAGGAGGCGUUUACCGAGCCGAAGUAGUACUGGGUCUGUUUCAUGACGCAGCUGCUCUCUCGCGUCUCGGGGCUUCCUUCGGCUUCCGCGGGGUCUGCGAGGGCCCAGAGCGCCUCAGCCCCGCCCACGGGCCCUGACCCGGCCUCCGGCUCGGCUUCACUCAGCCGUAAGCCCCGCCCUCCCUUUGGAGUCGUCUCAGCUCUCCAAGACGGGGGUUUGAGGAGAGGGCCUCCAAAGCCCUACCUACCCGCUUGGAACCAGCUGUGGUAGAUGAGGCCGUAGAGAAGCUGCUGGAACAAAGACCUGCAGGGCACGGGGCACCGGGUGGAGAGGGUCAGCAGAAGCCAAUGUCCUUCCCGCUUCUCUUUUGAACCCUCCUGGCUCUGGAGCACCUUCUGUACCCACCUUUCCCACAGGACUCACCAGGCGGCAGCAGAGGUCCACCAGGCCAGGUUAAGGAAGUCUGCAAUGCACCAGGAAUCCCCCAUCAUCAAUGAGGACACAUAGCUGGGUGCCUACGUGUUGAGAUCCUGGUCCCGCCACACACGCUCCACCAGCUGCUGUGUGAUACCCGUGUCCAAGAUCAGGUUGUGCAGAAGGAAGUUGUUGCCUGGAACAGGAAGACAGGGUGGAAGAGGCAUCCUCUUGCAGCUCCCUGCCCAUCCUUGCCCUCACCCCCAAGGCUCCACCAGGAACCUUCCCCAUAACCUGGUCCAGACCCAGCCCUUGGCUUGGGCUGCAUGUUUCCACACCUGCCCAGUCUCUGAGCUCCUCUGGGCUGUCCCCAUGCUGCCUGGGGACUGCCCUGAUCCAGCAGCCCUGCCCCCCACUCACACUGCUUGGAGUCUGGAGUCACUUUCUCCAUGAGCUCAAUGAAGUUUUUCAGGAACUCGG
Long non-coding RNA from Carlito syrichta (Philippine tarsier), 962 nucleotides. RefSeq lists it as uncharacterized. Lineage: Eukaryota; Metazoa; Chordata; Mammalia; Primates; Tarsiidae. The transcript is spliced from 3 exons. The record is from RefSeq and is a predicted model, not a curated record.